AUAAUACUUCCUUCGUCCCAAAUUACUUGUCGUAGAAAUGGAUGUAUCUAGAAAAUUCGUCUAGAUACAUCCAUUUCUAUGACAAGUAAUUCAGGAUGGAGGGAGUAUGAA
This is a non-coding RNA of Triticum urartu, 111 nucleotides long. Lineage: Eukaryota; Viridiplantae; Streptophyta; Magnoliopsida; Poales; Poaceae. The record is from Rfam.